RNAcentral lists this microRNA precursor (58 nucleotides) under Bos taurus (domestic cattle). Its description in RNAcentral is "Bta-Mir-506-P5_pre stem-loop". The record is from RNAcentral. Lineage: Eukaryota; Metazoa; Chordata; Mammalia; Artiodactyla; Bovidae.
UUCAUAGGAAGGUGUCAUUCAUGUGGUCUACAAUUUGAAUGCCACUUUUUUGUGAAGA